This 160-nucleotide long non-coding RNA is filed under the name Octodon degus (degu). RNAcentral's name for it is "Smith-Magenis syndrome chromosome region, candidate 2 conserved region 1 (ENSODEG00000022893.1)". It matches the Rfam family "Smith-Magenis syndrome chromosome region, candidate 2 conserved region 1". The record is from RNAcentral. Lineage: Eukaryota; Metazoa; Chordata; Mammalia; Rodentia; Octodontidae.
CCUCUCACUCCCUUUUCUCUGCUGGCCACCAGAGGUCUUGGAGGAAGCCCAAAAAUCUCCCCUUCAUGACUCCCUAGCAUGAGCCUCCUUGAGAAAUGAGCCAGUUCACCCUCUUCCAAGGCUGUGCCUUCUUAUCAAUGAGCUCUAGUGUUUCCAAGAC